This 255-nucleotide ribosomal RNA is filed under the name uncultured bacterium. Its description in RNAcentral is "partial 16S ribosomal RNA". It matches the Rfam family "Bacterial small subunit ribosomal RNA", at positions 524 to 776 of the family's 1533-position model. The record is from RNAcentral.
UACGUAGGGUGCAAGCGUUAUCCGGAAUUAUUGGGCGUAAAGGGCUCGUAGGCGGUUUGUCGCGUCGGGAGUGAAAUCCACUGGCUUAACUGGUGGCUUGCUUUCGAUACGGGCAGACUGGAGGUAUGCAGGGGAGAACGGAAUUCCUGGUGUAGCGGUGAAAUGCCGCAGAUAUCAGGAGGAACACCGGUGGCGAAGGCGGUUCUCUGGGCAUGGUCCUGACGCUGAGGAGCGAAAGUGUGGGGAGCGAACAGG